RNAcentral lists this ribosomal RNA (435 nucleotides) under uncultured bacterium. Its description in RNAcentral is "partial 16S ribosomal RNA". It matches the Rfam family "Bacterial small subunit ribosomal RNA", at positions 30 to 507 of the family's 1533-position model. The record is from RNAcentral.
AGCGAACGCUGGCGGCAGGCUUAACACAUGCAAGUCGAGCGGGCACUCUCGGGUGUCAGCGGCGGACGGGUGGGUAAAGCGGGGGAACGUGCCCUCUGGUUCGGAAUAACACAGGGAAACUUGAGCUAAUACCGGAUACGCCCUUUUGGGGAAAGGCUUGCCGCCGGAGGAUCGGCGCGCGUCGGAUUUGCGAGUGGGUGAGGUAACGGCACACCAAGGCGACGAGGAGUAGCUGGUCUGAGAGGAUGACCAGCCACACUGGGACUGAGACACGGCCCAGACUGCUACGGGAGGCAGGAGUGGGGAAUAUUGGACGAGGGGCGCAAGCCUGGUGCAGCCGUGCCGGGUAAGUGAUGAAGGCCUUAGGGUUGUAAAGCUCUUUUAUCCGGGACGAUAAUGACGGUACCGGAGGAAUAAGCCCCGGCUAACUACGUG